AUUGAACGCUGGCGGCAGGCCUAACACAUGCAAGUCGAGCGGAUGCAGGGAGCUUGCUCCUGGAUUCCGCGGCGCACGGGUGAGUAAUGCCCAUGAAUCUCCCUGCCUGUGGGGGAUAACGUCCGGAAACGGGCGCUAAUACCGCAUACGUCCUGUGCGAGAAAGUGGGUGAUCUUCGGACCUCACGCUAUCAGAUGAGCCUAGGUCGGAUUAGCUAGUUGGUGGGGUAAAGGCCUACCAAGCCGACGAUCCGUAACUGGUCUGAGAGGAUGAGCAGUCACACUGGAACUGAGACACGGUCCAGACUCCGACGGGAGGCAGCAGUGGGGAAUAUUAGAAAUGGGGCGAAAGCGUGAUCCAGCCAUGCCGCGUGUGUGAAGAAGGUCUCCGGAUUGUAAAGCAUAUUAAGUUGUGAGGAAGGGCAGUAAGUUAAUACCUGGCUGUUUUGACGUUACCAACAGAAUAAGCACCGGCUAACUUCGUG
Molecule: ribosomal RNA, 484 nt
Filed under: uncultured bacterium
Lineage: Bacteria
Description: partial 16S ribosomal RNA
Rfam family: Bacterial small subunit ribosomal RNA
Source: RNAcentral